GAUCCGCUAGCUCAGUCGGUAGAGCAUCACACUUUUAAUGUGGGGGUCUUGGGUUCGAACCCCAAGCAGGUCACCA
Molecule: transfer RNA, 76 nt
Filed under: Prevotellaceae bacterium
Lineage: Bacteria; Pseudomonadati; Bacteroidota; Bacteroidia; Bacteroidales; Prevotellaceae
Description: tRNA-Lys
Rfam family: tRNA
About the family: Transfer RNA (tRNA) molecules are approximately 80 nucleotides in length.
Source: RNAcentral